GAGAAAGGUGUCGAAUUCAACGGACAUUUUACAGCACAAUGCCUUUCGUAGAUGUCCCAUGGAGCAGUUUGUGUUGAUUAAAUGACCGCCUAGAAUGAAGAAUAUACGCGCGAGUGAGAGAGAGAGAGAGAGAGAGAGUCACGGGCAAUGCGGUCAGCAUCCAGUUUUCUCUCUUGGAACAACAAAAUCAGCCAGAAUUCAUUAAUAUCGAAAAGCAUUUGGAUGUCUUGCGUGCAUGGGGCAGAUAGGUGGAAAAACAUUUAUGCUUCAUUAAUUUUUUGAUGUUGAAAACGAAGCUGUUGGAGUAUCGAACAACAAUCCAAUGAUCAUAAAAAUAAGCCCGGAAUGUGCUGGAUUCAUCUAUCUAUGAGAGAUGCAAGAAUUUAGGUUGUGAAGCUCUAGCAAUACGUAUUUCCAGCGAAUCGCUUUCAUACGAGAUAAGUGGCGAUUUCAAAUCAAUACAUAUAUCACGGAGCCGACAGAUUUACGUGCACAAAGGAUGAGUUGAUUAUCAUGGGAAUUUGGAUUAGAGCGUGUGUCACUCAAUCAUUUCGAAGCGUGUGUACAUCGGGCGAUAACGACGGCAAUUCGAAAUUGCCUCGUAACGAUCAAAGUCCAUCAAAUUCACAGCAUAUUUGUGAAAUGCGUUAAUUUUGUCCCACAUCCACACGAAAUUACUGCAGUUAAAUGCAGUUUUCGGAUCGAAAAUUGAUUCAAAUCUAAGAUUAGGCAAUAUGUUUUUGUUGACGAAUUAGAAUGCCACACAAAGAAGCGAGCAAGAUAAGAAAAAAAAGAGGUGAAAAUGUUGAGAUCUUUGUUUUCGUUAUCAGGCCCAAUAAAAUGAAUCUUUUUU
Molecule: long non-coding RNA, 853 nt
Organism: Sitodiplosis mosellana (orange wheat blossom midge)
Lineage: Eukaryota; Metazoa; Arthropoda; Insecta; Diptera; Cecidomyiidae
Exons: 4
Source: RefSeq, a predicted model, not a curated record